CUCUAGGUGCACAGAGAACUGUGGAUCAUUAUCAGUCACAACCUGUGUACAUCAUCAGUCACAUGUGUGUACAUGCAUGUUUGCCUCCACAGAUAAAACCACAUGAAUACAGAGGAAAAUACAUAGACAGACAUCCACACAAAUAUACAUAGACUAAGUCAGGAACACUCUGAUAAUCAUAAAUACACAUACAGAAGCUGCAUUUAAUCAGUAUGAAAGACAAUCCUUUCAAGCACCUUCACCCAUGCUUGCUGUCACAAGUAUGCACACACAAGCAUCACGUGCACACACUUUGAUCAUGUGACUAGUCUGUGAGCAUAUGGAGUAUAUAGAGUACAGUUUGUCUUGUUCUAACCACAUUCUUUUUAUAAAGAGCUUUCUAUAGAUCCCUAUAUCAGCAGGACAAUUUCAUAUCCUAUUACAAUCUGCCAAGAAGAAACAGAUAAAUCUAUUAGCCUGUUCUUUGCUUGUUUCAUCAUUGUGACAGUCUCUCAUGGGUCUACAUCCAUCAGGCUCCCACACCACCUGACAGCCGAGUCUCCACCACCAAGCUGCAGGUACAAGACAACCUGGCAGUUGGUGCUAAUGGGGUGCCUUACUUCCCCUCCACAUGGUUUUCCAUCCCCCUAAAGACUUCCUUACAAGGUGGGUUCAAGGCAAUUUUUCAACAGAACAAACAACAGAAACUACAAGGGUUCUAAAGGCCUAGACUUGAGG
RNAcentral lists this long non-coding RNA (717 nucleotides) under Vulpes vulpes (red fox). RNAcentral describes it as "lncRNA (ENSVVUG00000025825.1)". The record is from RNAcentral. Lineage: Eukaryota; Metazoa; Chordata; Mammalia; Carnivora; Canidae.